Molecule: long non-coding RNA, 5195 nt
Filed under: Homo sapiens (human)
Lineage: Eukaryota; Metazoa; Chordata; Mammalia; Primates; Hominidae
Description: HSALNT0127517
Source: RNAcentral
CAGGUCUUGCUGCUGCUCCCUCUUUGGGUCCGCACUGCCUUUAUGAGCUGUAACAGUCACCGCGAAGGUCUGCAGCUUCAAUCCUGAGGCCAGCGAGACCACGAACCCACCAGGAGGAAUGAACAACUCCGGAUGGGAGGAACGAACAACUCCGGAUGGGAGGAACGAACAACUCCAGACGCGCGCCGCUUUAAGAGCUGUAACAUUCACUGCGAAGGUCUGCAGCUUCACUCCUGAAGCCAGCGAGACCAUGAACCCACCAGAAGGAAGAAACUCCGAACACGUCCGAACAUCAGAAGGAACAAACUCCAGACACACCAUCUUUAAGAACUGUAAUACUCACCGCGAGGUUCGGCAGCUUCAGUCUUGAAGUCAAUGAGUCCAAGAACCCACCAAUUCUGGACACAGUAGGAUAGUGUGUUAUGAAGAUGUAUUUAUUAGGAGGUAAGCCUCCUCGAAAAAAUCAAAAGACCUUUGUUGCACCAAAUUCCUUGCUAUAAUGAUUCCUGUUAGAGUGAAACGCCUAUUUGCUUCCAGAGUAUAAAUUUCAUUCCAAUUGGAGGAAAAGGCUUAAAUGACUUCAAGAAACACAUUGUAAAUUUGCCACCUCUUUUGCAUUUUCCUGAGAUAUUUUCCUCAAGGAAUUGACGUGCAAAUCACCAAGGUCUACAUAUUUUUCCCAUUACCUACAAAAGUAGUGACUAUACCAAUUAGAAAUUUUGUUCACUAGUAAAAAAUCAAUAAGAGUACACUGCUUGGACACUUACAUAAGAAGUUAUAAUUUUUUUUUCUUUCUGAAUCAUUUCUCCUAAGCCGUUUUCUACUGACAGGAGUCUGUCUCUUCACAUUAGUGACAGGAAGAAAUAAUUAAGUGUAAGUUGUCACUUGUGAUCGGAAGAUCCAUGAAGUAAAAGUGAACUAAGUGGGGCAGAUGAAAUCCUGGCUGUCCUCUCUACAUCUGCUGAAAUAGACUUAGGAAUCAUCUCUGAAACAUUCCCACUUCUAAUUUCCAGAAUUUAUGUGGAUUACAAAUGAGAAUAAUCUAGAUUUUUCUUGUAGAAUCUUGAAGAGGCAUUCUUUAUUUUUAAUCACUUACCCUUAGGAAUAUCCUCAGAAUGUGCCUGAAAUUAGGACAAAUCUAUGUAUUAUAGUUAGAGUGAAAUAUUAGUAAUUGUUUAAUGUCACUACGCCUAACUUAACUGUUAGUGUGAAUUUUGAGUGGAUAAAUAAGGAAUAUUUAUUGCUCUCAUUGUUCAUUCAUUCAACAAGCAUUUAGUGAAUACCUUCCAUAUACCAGAGAUUUUUCAAGUAAUUGAGAAAAUAAAGAUAAUUAAGAUAGUUCACCUCAAGUUUCUCCCAGUUUAGAAGAAGAUAAAUUAGAAAAUUGAUGGUUAGAAUAUAGCAUGGUCAGAGCUAUGGGAAAAGAGAAUAUCAUAUGAGACUGGUGAACAGACAUGAGGAUGCAAUGCUUGUUCUUGGUCUGGAAGGAUACUUUGGAGCUAUUUAGGAGACUAAUGAUGGAAGACUUUGCUGGGUUGGGUAAAAUGUAGCAACUGCAAUAAUAGAGAAAAUUGCAGAAAAAAGGCCAGUGUCUGUCUAUUCUGGCUGCUGUAACAAAAAUACCCUAGACUGGAUGGCUUAUAAACAACAGAAAUUUAUUUCUCAUAUCUCUAGAUCCUGGAAUGUUCAAGAUUAAGGUGCUGGCUGAUUUAGUGUCUUUUGAGGGCCUGUUUCUUGUUGCUUCGUGGGAUGGUGUAAGGAACAAAGCAACUUUCUGGGCCAUCUUUUAUAAAGGCACUAAUACCAUGCACAAGGGCUCUGCACUUACGAUCUAAUCACCUACCAGAGGCCCCACCUCCUGAUAUCAUCACCUUGAGAGCGAGGAUCUCAACAUAUAAAUUUUAGGAGAACACAAAUAGACCAUAGUCACCAACAACUGCAAAGUCAAGUAGAUAUGAGGCUGCACCUCUGGGGAGCAGCAAGUAAUGUGGUCUAGCUGGGGAGAAGGGUAAGGAAGGAAUAAUGUAGGAGGUGAGCCUGAAGAAAGAGAGGCAAUGGUCAGAUCAUAAAGCCUCAAAUGCUUCCCUGAGAAGUUUGCAUUUUAUUCUGAAGAUUAUAGGAGGGCACUGUAGAUUUCCAAACAUGGCUAGUUUUGUAUUUUACAAGGAUUACUCUGGUAUUAAGAUAUUAGCAAGACUGGGGAUAAGGGACCAGUUAAGAAGAGAAAAAGAAGGAAUGAAGAUGCCCUCCCUUCAUCUCCAUCUUUUUAAUGGAAAGAUGGUUGUGCUUCUACCUGAAAAUGGAAAUAAUGAGAAGAAGCGACUUUCUUCUUUGGGAGGUGGAGGAUGAAGAGAAAGGCCAAGUUCAAUAGAGACCGGGUCUCACUCUGUUCCCAGGCAGGUGUGCAGUGGCAUAAUCAGCUCAUUGCAGCCUCUAACUCUUGGGCUCAUGCAAUCCUCCUACCUAAGACUCGUGAGUAGCUAGAACUAUAGACAUGCACCACCACACUCACCUAACUUUUUCUGUGUGUACAGAUAGGAUUUUGCUAUGUUGCUCAGGCUAGUCUCAAACUCCUGGCCUCAAGUGAUCCUGUCACCUCGACUUCCCAAAGCACAGGCAUGAGCCAUGGUGCUUGGUCUGUAAUCUCCAUUAUAAUUUAUUUUUUGAUUCCUGGAUUUAAAAGUGUCUAGUUUCCAAGGGUUGGAAAUGUCCUAAUCAUCUUUCAGUUACUAAUUUUUAACAUAAAUUUAUUCCAGUUAGAAAAACUAAAAAUUAUUCAAGGCUUUGAAAUACGUCAAUAUUUACUAUAUGACCCAGGAUCUUAUUAAUUUUUAAAAUGUUUCAUCUGCAAUUAAAAUAAUGUGGAUUCUAUCAUUGUUGGGUGAAACAGUCUACAUAUAUUUAUUCAGUCAAGUUGGUUAAUUGUGUUUCUAAGAUUUUCUCUAUCCUUUGAGAAUUUUUGUUUACUUUUUAAAAGUAACUUCACAAGAGAUGUGUUAAGGUCUUUUAUUAUGAUUGUAGAUUUUUCUAUUAAAAUGUUUAGUUAUAUAAUUUUUCUACUAAAUUUUUAGUUUUAGAUUUUUCUAUUAAAAUGUUUAGCUAUAUCAAUUUUUUACUGUAUGUAUUUAAUAAUUUUUUACUGUAUGUAUUUAAUAAUUACACUAUUGGUGGAUAAAGAUUUGGGAUUUAUGUUCCUAGGAGACUGACCUUUUUAUCAUUUUGAAAUGUAAAUCCCUUUAGCUACUAAUACAAAUUGUCAUAAGAAUCUACUUUUUCUAAUGUCAAUAUAGCUAAGCCAAAUAUUUUUGGUAAGUACUACUUGCAUGAUAUACCUUUUACAUUUUACUUUCAACUUUUCUGUGUCUUUCUAUUUAAGAUGCACUCAUCGUCAUAUAGUUCGAUUCUGAUAUUCUAGGUCUUAAUUGGAUUAUUUACUCAAUUUACAUUUAAUGUUAUUAUAGAUAUAGUUAUUUUCUAUUUCAUCCAUCUAUUUUAUAUUCUCGUUACUAUCUUUUCUUGCUAUCUUUAGGUCAAAUAACUAUUUUACUAUUCAUAUUUUCUCUCCAUUAGCAUUUUGAAACUAUUCCUUCAGUGAUUACCCUAGGAACUUAACUAUGCAUACUUGACUUAAUGUAGCCUAAUAUAAAUUAUUAUUUUAAACUUUAUGCACUUAUAAAGAUGUCUCUAGCUAUAAGAGUAUGAGACACAAAUUAAGCACUUAAUAUAUAUCUAUGAUAUUAUAGAAGGAGGGAAGUAAUAUUUAAAAGAGCAGAUAAAGUGAGACUGCAAAGUGUAAACAUUUUAAUUAGAGCUUUCAAAUUCUUAAAAUAUUUGCCUUCUGUGUUCUUCAAUCUCUCAGAACUUACAUUACUUUACAAGUGUUUCUCAAAGUACUGACUGUGAACUACCUGCAAUAAAAUACUGAGAGUGAGGAAGAGGGGUUGUGCUUGUUAAAAAUGUCAAUUCCUGGGAUCUGGUCUGUGCAUAAAAAUUAGAAAUUAUGCAUGCUUGAUUUCAAGAACCUACCAGUCGUAUGAAAGUAUUGUAUAAUUAAUCCAGUUGUUCCUAUUGACUUAACAAUAUGAACUAAUACUAGUUCUAAAUGGGUCAUGCAUCUUCAUGUCAGGAUGCCUGGAUUAAAAUUCUAGUCUUUACUACUUAUAAAGUAUGUGACCUUGGGCAAGUUACCUUAUAUCUCUAACCUUUAGUUUCUCAUUGUGUUCAAUAAAUGUAAUAGCAUAUACCUCAUAUAUUCAUUGUGAGAAUUAAAUAUAUGUAGAGUACUCAGAAUAGUACUUGACUUAUAGCAAGUAUUUAAGAAAUGCUGUUUUUAUAUUACAUUAUCAUUAAUAAAAAUGAUUCUAUUCUAGUUUUAUGCCACCGUUCUACAGGUAAAAAAUAUUAAAAAUUUGGGUGUACCUGAACUGAACAUUAAUUUUCUGAAGUUGAUUUUCCUGAUAUCAAUUUAUUUUGUUAUAUUCGGUCUCUGAUUCCCCUAAGUAUAAUUUCAGAAGGAAAAAAAUCUAGGUAAUUGAUUGUUCUAAUCAGUUACAUUUUGUUGAUAAAAGCUUUGCUGAAUUUAUUAUCCCUAAUUUCAGUAAAUUCACAGAAACAAUCUAUCAUUUAUUUAAUUGCUAGGAUACACUCUCUUUUGGAACACAUCUUCCAGCAAUUCAUGAGUAAAAUAGGACCUGGAAAUUAUGCUGUCAUAGUUGUGGAUAAAUGGUCUGGUUUAACUGCUAGUGAGACAGAUGAAAAAAUUAUUCUCAACUCCAUGAGCAACACUAUUGGAUAAGGUACCUGUACCAUUAUCCGUUAAAGUACCAUUUUAAUUUAAAACUGCAUUUUAAUUGCAUCAUGGGUACUCAUAAUGAGUCUGAGUUUGGCAAAGCUAGAAGGAUUGGUGCUCAAGGAGAUGAAAGAAAAAGAUCCAACACUCUGUGGAAAAGACCAUUCAACCACAGGGCACCUCAAAAUAACUAUUUUCAUUCUAGCCUUAGUGCAUGUAAAAGAAAAUACUUCUCUCAGCUGCUGUACAGUAUAGCUGCAAGUGGUUUCCAAAUCAAGGUAUUAUGUUUGCCUUGACCCAAGUGAAUUCCAAGGAAUACAAGUUCUGGAAGAUGUCAGUACACAUUCCAAAAAUGAUAAUAUCUAUAGCCAAGAGACUUUGGAAAAAAAAAAUGUGUUAAACUAAG